This 301-nucleotide ribosomal RNA is filed under the name uncultured bacterium. RNAcentral's name for it is "partial 16S ribosomal RNA". It matches the Rfam family "Bacterial small subunit ribosomal RNA", at positions 509 to 807 of the family's 1533-position model. The record is from RNAcentral.
CAGUCGCCGCGGUAAUACGAAGGGUGCAAGCGUUACUCGGAAUUACUGGGCGUAAAGCGUGCGUAGGUGGUGGUUUAAGUCCGUUGUGAAAGCCCUGGGCUCAACCUGGGAAUUGCAGUGGAUACUGGGUCACUAGAGUGUGGUGGAGGAUAGUGGAAUUUCCGGUGUAGCAGUGAAAUGCGUAGAGAUCGGAAGGAACAUCUGUGGCGAAGGCGACUAUCUGGGCCAACACUGACACUGAGGCACGAAAGCGUGGGGAGCAAACAGGAUUAGAGACCCCCGUAGUCCCUGUCUCUUAUAC